Molecule: microRNA precursor, 144 nt
Filed under: Amborella trichopoda
Lineage: Eukaryota; Viridiplantae; Streptophyta; Magnoliopsida; Amborellales; Amborellaceae
Description: miR395 stem-loop (atr-MIR395)
Gene: atr-MIR395
Source: miRBase by way of RNAcentral
GCAUUGGGAGACCCCUAGAGUUCCCUCAACCCCUUCAGCGAUGUGCUCUCUCCUAUACAAGAGAGAGAGAGAGUUUAUGCUGGUGUUUUGGAGAGAGAGUUUACGCUGAAGUGUUUGGGGGAACUCCUGGAGUCACUCAAUAGU